UUAACUCAAAUUUGUAUGGAGUUGGAGAGUUUAUCUACGUUAGCCGCUAGGGGCGCUGUUCCAAUUGCAUACAAAUUUUAGUUA
Molecule: microRNA precursor, 84 nt
Filed under: Bombyx mori (domestic silkworm)
Lineage: Eukaryota; Metazoa; Arthropoda; Insecta; Lepidoptera; Bombycidae
Description: mir-2807 microRNA precursor family
Rfam family: mir-2807 microRNA precursor family
Source: Rfam by way of RNAcentral